This 82-nucleotide ribozyme is filed under the name Lepisosteus oculatus (spotted gar). RNAcentral's name for it is "drz-agam-1 ribozyme". It matches the Rfam family "drz-agam-1 ribozyme". Lineage: Eukaryota; Metazoa; Chordata; Actinopteri; Semionotiformes; Lepisosteidae. The record is from Rfam by way of RNAcentral.
GGCCGGCAAAAUCCUAUCACCACCUCCUCACGGUGCCAGCUGGAUACAACUGGAUACAAUUCGUUGGAACUAACAGUAAAGG